This 886-nucleotide ribosomal RNA is filed under the name uncultured Gammaproteobacteria bacterium. RNAcentral describes it as "bacterial SSU rRNA". It matches the Rfam family "Bacterial small subunit ribosomal RNA", at positions 31 to 916 of the family's 1533-position model. The record is from RNAcentral. Lineage: Bacteria; Pseudomonadati; Pseudomonadota; Gammaproteobacteria.
GGGAGUUGGCGGCAGCUUACCAUGCAGUCGACGAGAAAGUCCCUUCGGGGGCGAGUAAAGUGGCGGACGGGUGAGUAACGCGUAGGAACCUACCUGAUAGUGGGGGAUAACUCGGGGAAACUCGAGCUAAUACCGCAUACGCUCUACGGAGGAAAGAGGGCCUCUAUUUAUAAGCUCUCGUUAUCAGAGGGGCCUGCGUUGGAUUAGCUAGUUGGUAGGGUAAAGGCCUACCAAGGCGACGAUCCAUAGCUGGUCUGAGAGGACGAUCAGCCACACUGGAACUGAGGCACGGUCCAGACUCCUACGGGAGGCAGCAGUGGGGAAUCUUGGGCAAUGGGCGCAAGCCUGACCCAGCCAUGCCGCGUGUGCGAAGAAGGCCUUCGGGUUGUAAAGCACUUUCAGUGGUGAAGAAAAGCCAGGGGCUAAUACCCCCAGGUCUUGACGUUAGCCACAGAAGAAGUACCGGCUAACUCCGUGCCAGCAGCCGCGGUAAUACGGAGGGUACGAACGUUAAUCGGAAUUACUGGGCGUAAAGCGCGCGUAGGCGGUUCGGUAAGUGGGAUGUGAAAGCCCUGGGCUCAACCUGGGAACUGCAUUCCAAACUGCCGGGCUAGAGUAUGGUAGAGGGAGGUAGAAUUUCCUGUGUAGCGGUGAAAUGCGUAGAUAUAGGAAGGAAUACCAGUGGCGAAGGCGGCCUCCUGGAUCAAUACUGACGCUGAGGUGCGAAAGCGUGGGGAGCAAACAGGAUUAGAUACCCUGGUAGUCCACGCCGUAAACUAUGAGAACUAGCCGUUGGGACCCUUGAGGUCUUAGUGGCGAAGCUAACGCGAUAAGUUCUCCGCCUGGGGAGUACGGCCGCAAGGUUAAAACUCAAAGGAAUUGACGG